This is a non-coding RNA of Phrynosoma platyrhinos (Desert horned lizard), 73 nucleotides long. Lineage: Eukaryota; Metazoa; Chordata; Lepidosauria; Squamata; Phrynosomatidae. The record is from the annotation of a GenBank genome assembly.
GCCCGUGUGGUUCAGUGGUUUGAGCAUUGGACCAUGACUCUAGAGACCAAGGUUCAAAAUCCCAACUCAGUCA